RNAcentral lists this ribosomal RNA (2886 nucleotides) under Aeromonas hydrophila. RNAcentral describes it as "23S ribosomal RNA". It matches the Rfam family "Bacterial large subunit ribosomal RNA". Lineage: Bacteria; Pseudomonadati; Pseudomonadota; Gammaproteobacteria; Aeromonadales; Aeromonadaceae. The record is from RNAcentral.
UUAAGUGACUAAGCGUACAUGGUGGAUGCCUUGGCAGUCAGAGGCGAUGAAGGACGUACUAACCUGCGAUAAGCCGUGAGCAGUCGGUAAGAGACAUUACGACUCACGGAUUUCCGAAUGGGGAAACCCACUUAGCAUAAGCUAGGUAUCGCUACGUGAAUACAUAGCGUAGCGAGGCGAACCGGGAGAACUGAAACAUCUAAGUACCCCGAGGAAAAGAAAUCAACCGAGAUUCCCUCAGUAGCGGCGAGCGAACGGGGAUUAGCCCUUAAGCAUCUUGGAAGUUAGUGGAACGGUCCUGGAAAGGCCGGCGAUACAGGGUGAUAGCCCCGUACACGAAAACAACCUUGAUGUGAAAUCGAGUAGGGCGGGACACGUGACAUCCUGUCUGAAUAUGGGGGGACCAUCCUCCAAGGCUAAAUACUCCUGACUGACCGAUAGUGAACCAGUACCGUGAGGGAAAGGCGAAAAGAACCCCUGUGAGGGGAGUGAAAUAGAACCUGAAACCGUGUACGUACAAGCAGUGGGAGCCCUUCGGGGUGACUGCGUACCUUUUGUAUAAUGGGUCAGCGACUUACAUUUUGUAGCGAGGUUAACCGUAUAGGGGAGCCGUAGGGAAACCGAGUCUUAACUGGGCGUCUAGUUGCAAGGUGUAGACCCGAAACCGGGUGAUCUAGCCAUGGGCAGGUUGAAGGUUGAGUAACAUCAACUGGAGGACCGAACCCACUAACGUUGCAAAGUUAGGGGAUGACCUGUGGCUGGGGGUGAAAGGCCAAUCAAACUCGGAGAUAGCUGGUUCUCCCCGAAAGCUAUUUAGGUAGCGCCUCGGACGAAUACUACUGGGGGUAGAGCACUGUUUGGGCUAGGGGGUCAUCCCGACUUACCAACCCCAUGCAAACUCCGAAUACCAGUAAGUAAUAUCCGGGAGACACACGGCGGGUGCUAACGUCCGUCGUGAAGAGGGAAACAACCCAGACCGCCGGCUAAGGUCCCAAAGUUCUGGUUAAGUGGGAAACGAUGUGGGAAGGCUCAGACAGCUAGGAUGUUGGCUUAGAAGCAGCCAUCAUUUAAAGAAAGCGUAAUAGCUCACUAGUCGAGUCGGCCUGCGCGGAAGAUGUAACGGGGCUCAAACCAGGCACCGAAGCCGCGGAUUCACACUAAGUGUGAGUGGUAGGGGAGCGUUCUGUAAGUCUGCGAAGGUGUGUCGAGAGGCAUGCUGGAGAUAUCAGAAGUGCGAAUGCUGACGUAAGUAACGAUAAAGGGGGUGAAAAGCCUCCUCGCCGGAAGACCAAGGGUUCCUGUCCAACGUUAAUCGGGGCAGGGUGAGUCGACCCCUAAGGCGAGGCCGAAAGGCGUAGUCGAUGGGAAGCAGGUUAAUAUUCCUGCACGACUUGUAAUUGCGAUGGGGGGACGGAGAAGGCUAGGUGGGCCAGGCGACGGUUGUCCUGGUGAAAGUGCGUAGGUGGUGUUUCUAGGCAAAUCCGGAGACACAACACUGAGACACGAGACGAACACACUACGGUGUGGAAGCCAUUGAUGCCCUGCUUCCAGGAAAAGCCUCUAAGCUUCAGAUUACAAGUCAUCGUACCCCAAACCGACACAGGUGGUCGGGUAGAGAAUACCAAGGCGCUUGAGAGAACUCGGGUGAAGGAACUAGGCAAAAUAGAACCGUAACUUCGGGAGAAGGUUCGCUCUUGACAGUGAAGUCCCUUGCGGAUGGAGCAGUUGGGAGUCGCAGUGACCAGAUGGCUGGGACUGUUUAUCAAAAACACAGCACUCUGCAAACACGAAAGUGGACGUAUAGGGUGUGACACCUGCCCGGUGCCGGAAGGUUAAUUGAUGGGGUUAGCGCAAGCGAAGCUCUUGAUCGAAGCCCCGGUAAACGGCGGCCGUAACUAUAACGGUCCUAAGGUAGCGAAAUUCCUUGUCGGGUAAGUUCCGACCUGCACGAAUGGUGUAACCAUGGCCAUGCUGUCUCCACCCGAGACUCAGUGAAAUCGAAUUCGCCGUGAAGAUGCGGUGUACCCGCGGCUAGACGGAAAGACCCCGUGAACCUUUACUACAGCUUGGCACUGAACAUUGAACCUACAUGUGUAGGAUAGGUGGGAGGCUUUGAAGGCGUGACGCCAGUUGCGCUGGAGCCGUCCUUGAAAUACCACCCUUGUAUGUUUGAUGUUCUAACGCAGGCCCCUGAAUCGGGGUCGCGGACAGUGCCUGGUGGGUAGUUUGACUGGGGCGGUCUCCUCCCAAAGAGUAACGGAGGAGCACGAAGGUUGGCUAAUCCUGGUCGGACAUCAGGAGGUUAGUGCAAUGGCAUAAGCCAGCUUAACUGCGAGACGGACAGGUCGAGCAGGUACGAAAGUAGGUCAUAGUGAUCCGGUGGUUCUGAAUGGAAGGGCCAUCGCUCAACGGAUAAAAGGUACUCCGGGGAUAACAGGCUGAUACCGCCCAAGAGUUCAUAUCGACGGCGGUGUUUGGCACCUCGAUGUCGGCUCAUCACAUCCUGGGGCUGAAGUCGGUCCCAAGGGUAUGGCUGUUCGCCAUUUAAAGUGGUACGCGAGCUGGGUUCAGAACGUCGUGAGACAGUUCGGUCCCUAUCUGCCGUGGGCGUUGGAUGAUUGAAGGGAGUUGCUCCUAGUACGAGAGGACCGGAGUGAACGAACCUCUGGUGUUCGGGUUGUCACGCCAGUGGCACUGCCCGGUAGCUAAGUUCGGAAUCGAUAACCGCUGAAAGCAUCUAAGCGGGAAGCGAGCCCUGAGAUGAGUCAUCCCUGACCCCUUGAGGGUCCUAAAGGGCCGUUGGAGACCACAACGUUGAUAGGUGGGGUGUGUAAGCGCGGCGACGUGUUGAGCUAACCCAUACUAAUUACCCGUGAGGCUUAACCA